AGAGGUAGAGCGGUCGGCUGUUACCCGACUGGUCGAUGGUUCGAUCCCAUCCGCGUCAGCCAAUAAGCCGGUAUG
This 75-nucleotide transfer RNA is filed under the name Pseudomonas aeruginosa. RNAcentral describes it as "tRNA-Asn". The stretch from base 1 to 59 matches the Rfam family "tRNA", at positions 14 to 71 of the family's 71-position model. From Rfam's summary of the family: Transfer RNA (tRNA) molecules are approximately 80 nucleotides in length. Their secondary structure includes four short double-helical elements and three loops (D, anti-codon, and T loops). Lineage: Bacteria; Pseudomonadati; Pseudomonadota; Gammaproteobacteria; Pseudomonadales; Pseudomonadaceae. The record is from RNAcentral.